UCGAGAAUCUUCCGCAAUGGACGAAAGUCUGACGGAGCGACGCCGCGUGAUGGAUGAAGUCCCUCUGGGACGUAAACAUCUUUUAUGAGGGAGAAAGUUUAUUGAUAGUACCUCACGAAUAAGGGGUUGCUAAACUCGUGCCAGCAGCAGCGGUAAUACGAGUGCCCCGAGCGUUAUCCGGAAUCACUGGGCGUAAAGCGCGUGUAGGCGGUCUGCUAAGUCUGAUGUGAAAGCCCGGGGCUCACCCCCGGAAGUGCAUUGGAAACUGACAGACUGGAGUCCCGGAGAGGAGGGUGGAAUUCCUGGUGUAGCGGUGAAAUACGUAGAUAUCAGGAGGAACACCGGCGGCGAAGGCGGCCCUCUGGACGGUGACUGACACUCAGACGCGAAAGCGUGGGGAGCAAACAGGAUUAGAUACCCUUGUAGUCCCUGAGCGGGCUGGCAAGGCGCAU
Molecule: ribosomal RNA, 452 nt
Filed under: uncultured bacterium
Lineage: Bacteria
Description: bacterial SSU rRNA
Rfam family: Bacterial small subunit ribosomal RNA
Source: RNAcentral